Molecule: small RNA, 161 nt
Filed under: Clostridiales bacterium CHKCI001
Lineage: Bacteria; Bacillati; Bacillota; Clostridia; Eubacteriales
Description: Clostridiales-1 RNA
Rfam family: Clostridiales-1 RNA
Source: Rfam by way of RNAcentral
UAUAAAAGUGUCGUCAAUGAUCAGCCAGGCAAAGGAUUUAUACCCUGUACUGGAUGGACAUUCCACGACCUGACUUGUAUGAGCAAGUAAAGCAUUUGCCUGGAUUGCGAAUACGGACAGCGAUGUCGAGAGUGCAUAGCACGAAGACAUCGGCUUUUAUA